GACGAACGCUGGCGGCGUGCUUAACACAUGCAAGUCGAACGGUUCUGCCCUGUUUUUUGCGGGGUGGGUCAGUGGCGAACGGGUGAGUAACACGUGAGUAACCUGCCCCUCACUUCUGGAUAACCGCUUUAAAGUGUUGCUAAUACGGGGUUUUCUGGCUGUGCCGCAUGGUGUGGCUGGUAACGAUUCACUUUUGUGUUGUUUUGGUGGGGGAUGUGCUCGCGGCCUAUCAGGUUGUUGGUGGGGUGAUGGCCUGCGAAGGCUUUGACGGGUAGCCGGCCGGAGAGGGUGAGCGGUAAGAGUGGGACGGAGAGACGGAACAGACUACGGGGGGAAGCAGCAGUGGAUGGUAUUGAACAAGGGGCGGAAGGCUGAUGCAGCGACGUGGCGUGAGGGAAGGAGGUCUUCGUGUUGUGAACCUCUUUAGCCGGUGAAGAAGGUUCUGCUCUUUGUGGUGGGGUUGAACGUAACCGUGUUAUGAAGCGCCGGCUAACUACGUG
RNAcentral lists this ribosomal RNA (500 nucleotides) under uncultured bacterium. RNAcentral's name for it is "partial 16S ribosomal RNA". It matches the Rfam family "Bacterial small subunit ribosomal RNA", at positions 28 to 507 of the family's 1533-position model. The record is from RNAcentral.